CCUCUUUUUCUUCUUCUCUUCUCUUUUAUGCACCUUACUGUCGUCACGAUCUCACCUUCUCGUUCCAAACAAAUUUUUUCCCCUGCUAGCUUAGAAAGUGAAAGAAACUGGAGGUAGGAAGACGAGGCUUUUGUGUCUCAUCUAUGGUGGCGUCCCCCCGAAGUGGAAUCUAGGGCGCGGCGGAAAGAAGGGGAAGUGAAAGGCGGAGGACUUUUGAGUUUUAUUGGCCGAGAGGCUAGGGCACGGUGUGAUUUGGUUCGAUCUCGGUGUGGAAGCUCGGGGAAUCAACUUAUUGCGUAGUGGUUUUGUGGUUGUGGGAUUUUGGAAACCUUAGAUUUGGGUCAGGGUUGUGUGGUUGGCUGAUUAAGCUAGGGGCGGGGCUGCCCUUGCGAUUGACUGGGUUUUCAUGCUGUCAAAACCACUGCCUUGGGAUCGGAAGGACUUCUUCAAGGAGAGGAGAGGAAGCACGAGAGGUCGGAGUCUUUAAGUUUGCUGCAAGAUAGAGGACUCACAUCAGGGUUCUUGGGAGUUUGCUCGCCGGAAUCGGCAGACUUGCGCCGUCCUACAGAAGCACGAGAGGUCUGAGUCUUUAGGUUAGCUGCAAGAUAGAGGGACUCGCAUCAGGUUCUUGGGAGUUUGCUCGCCGGGAUCGGUAGACUUUCGCCCCCUACAGGUGAGUUAUGAAUCCGGGUUCUUGAUGAUUGUGAUGAAAUUCGUAGGUUUUGGUUUAAACCAAGAAUAAUAAUAAGGUUCUUAGAAAAUU
Molecule: long non-coding RNA, 763 nt
Organism: Vitis riparia (riverbank grape)
Lineage: Eukaryota; Viridiplantae; Streptophyta; Magnoliopsida; Vitales; Vitaceae
Exons: 2
Source: RefSeq, a predicted model, not a curated record